RNAcentral lists this ribosomal RNA (774 nucleotides) under uncultured Neocallimastigales. Its description in RNAcentral is "partial large subunit ribosomal RNA". It matches the Rfam family "Eukaryotic large subunit ribosomal RNA", at positions 22 to 636 of the family's 3401-position model. The record is from RNAcentral. Lineage: Eukaryota; Fungi; Neocallimastigomycota; Neocallimastigomycetes; Neocallimastigales.
GUACACGCUGUGACUAGCAUAUCAAUAAGCGGAGGAAAAGAAACUAACAAGGAUUCCCCUAGUAACGGCGAGUGAAGCGGGAAGAGCUCAAAUUUGAAAUCUUAAAGGGUUUCCCUUUGCGAAUUGUAGUUUAAAGAAGUGUUUUCUGUUGAGGUUUUGGUAAAAGUUCUUUGGAAUAGGACAUCAUAGAGGGUGAGAAUCCCGUAUUUGACCUUUACUUUCAACUUUGUGAUACACUUUCAAAGAGUCGGAUUGUUUGGGAAUGCAGUCCAAAAUGGGUGGUAAAUUUCAUCUAAAGCUAAAUAUUGGCGAGAGACCGAUAGCGAACAAGUACCGUGAGGGAAAGAUGAAAAGAACUUUGAAAAGAGAGUUAAACAGUACGUGAAAUUGUCAAAAGGGAAGCGUUUGACACCAGUGUUGUUUUUCUGAAAAUCAAUUAAAGAACUGUUUAUGCUAAGUUGUUUAGACUUUAUCAGCUAACUGUUUAGUUUUGAGCUUUUCUUUAAUGCACUUUUCAGUUAACAAGUCAACAUCAAUUUCUUUUGCUGUAAAAAAGCUUGAGGAAGGUGGCUUGAGAUUCGUCUUAAGUGUUUAUAGCCUCUUGCCUAUGCAGUCGGAGAGAUUGAGGUCUGCAGCGUAGAUCCUUCGGGGCUAAAUGCAUUUGUGCUAAGUUAUAGCAUUUUAUAGACAACUUGUUGACUAUGAUUUGUCUUGUAGCUUACUCGCUUAUGUUAUUUUACCUACGCUUAGGAUGUUGAUAUGCAUGACUGAUAU